This 73-nucleotide transfer RNA is filed under the name Bos taurus (domestic cattle). It matches the Rfam family "tRNA". Rfam says of the family: Transfer RNA (tRNA) molecules are approximately 80 nucleotides in length. Their secondary structure includes four short double-helical elements and three loops (D, anti-codon, and T loops). Further hydrogen bonds mediate the characteristic L-shaped molecular structure. tRNAs have two regions of fundamental functional importance: the anti-codon, which is responsible for specific mRNA codon recognition, and the 3' end, to which the tRNAs corresponding amino acid is attached (by aminoacyl-tRNA synthetases). tRNAs cope with the degeneracy of the genetic code in two manners: having more than one tRNA (with a specific anti-codon) for a particular amino acid; and 'wobble' base-pairing, i.e. permitting non-standard base-pairing at the 3rd anti-codon position. RNAcentral also lists the same sequence under 5 other names. The record is from Rfam by way of RNAcentral. Lineage: Eukaryota; Metazoa; Chordata; Mammalia; Artiodactyla; Bovidae.
UCCCUGGUAGCUCAGCGGUUAAAAGCGUCUGCCAGCAACGCAGGAGACCCAGGUUCGAUCCCUGGGUUGGGAA